AUUGAACGCUGGCGGCAUGCUUUACACAUGCAAGUCGAACGGUAACAGGUUAAGCUGACGAGUGGCGAACGGGUGAGUAAUGCAUCGGAACGUGCCCGAUCGUGGGGGAUAACGCAGCGAAAGCUGCGCUAAUACCGCAUACGAUCUGAGGAUGAAAGCGGGGGACCGUAAGGCCUCGCGCGAUCGGAGCGGCCGAUGUCAGCUUAGGUAGUUGGUGGGGUAAAGGCCCACCAAGCCGACGAUCUGUAGCUGGUCUGAGAGGACGACCAGCAACGCUGGGACUGGGACACGGCCCAGGCUCCUACGGGAGGCAGCAGUGGGGAAUUUUGGAAAAUGGGCGAAAGCCUGAUCCAGCACUGCCGCGUGCAGGAAGAAGGCCUUCGGGUUGUAAACUGCUUUUGUACGGAGCGAAAAGGUCCUUUCUAAUACAAGGGGCUCAUGACGGUACCGUAAGAAUAAGCACCGGCUAACUACGUGCCAGCCGCCGCGGUAA
RNAcentral lists this ribosomal RNA (493 nucleotides) under uncultured bacterium. RNAcentral's name for it is "partial 16S ribosomal RNA". It matches the Rfam family "Bacterial small subunit ribosomal RNA", at positions 29 to 523 of the family's 1533-position model. The record is from RNAcentral.